GCCUGGGUGGUGAAAUCGGUAGCCACAGCAGACUUAAAAUCUGCCGCUGUCACAAGCGUACGGGUUCGAGUCCCGUCCCAGGUACCA
This 87-nucleotide transfer RNA is filed under the name Roseateles depolymerans. RNAcentral describes it as "tRNA-Leu". It matches the Rfam family "tRNA". Rfam says of the family: Transfer RNA (tRNA) molecules are approximately 80 nucleotides in length. Their secondary structure includes four short double-helical elements and three loops (D, anti-codon, and T loops). RNAcentral also lists the same sequence under 3 other names. Lineage: Bacteria; Pseudomonadati; Pseudomonadota; Betaproteobacteria; Burkholderiales; Sphaerotilaceae. The record is from RNAcentral.